UGAGGAGGAGGUAUCCUUUGUUUAAUUGCUGAUGAAGAUAGCAAGUGGAAAGGAAAUUUCAGGUCUGGGGGAAAAGAGAUCUGCUCACCAGGAGGAAAUGGAAGGGGCUCUUGACCUGACAGCAAGACUCGGAGUGCAAAAACAGAGCACAGGAUCUCCUCAGGCCGGAGAAUAAUCGGUGCUAGGAAAAGACCACUCAUUCCACAGCCACCCGAUGUGCGGGUGAUGUGGUCAUGGCAAACAAAAUAAAACACAUUUGAUAGACAUGUGUGUUUGUGUGCAUUUGCUCUGGCACAUGGAUACCUACACAAUCCAGGAAAAGGUGUUGGAUUCUCUGGACCUGGGGGAAGAGGUGGCUCUAAGAUGCUGGGAACUGAACUCCUGUAUGAGAGCAACAAGCCACUCUCAACCGCUGAGCCCUCUCUCCAGCCCCAACAACAGGGUUUUAAAAAUGACGGUGGGUGGCUCACACCAUCUGUAAUGGGAUCCGAUGCCUCCUUCUGGUGUGUCUGAAGACAGCUACAGUGUAC
RNAcentral lists this small RNA (530 nucleotides) under Rattus norvegicus (Norway rat). RNAcentral's name for it is "uncharacterized LOC108348590". The record is from RNAcentral. Lineage: Eukaryota; Metazoa; Chordata; Mammalia; Rodentia; Muridae.